Molecule: unclassified non-coding RNA, 277 nt
Filed under: Glomeraceae sp.
Lineage: Eukaryota; Fungi; Glomeromycota; Glomeromycetes; Glomerales; Glomeraceae
Description: partial internal transcribed spacer 2
Source: RNAcentral
GUGAAUCAUCGAAUCUUUGAACGCAAAUUGCACUCUCCGGGGUUAGUAGGCCUGUUUGAGUUUCAGCGUAUAAAAUAUCUACAUCGUUUCUGUGUUGCUGUGGCAUUCGUCGGAAAUUGUUUCAUCUUAAAUCUUUUGGUUUUAAGCGACUUAAAAUUUUCUUUUUGGUUCCAUGAACGUUUCUAAGAUUUAUUUCGUUACACGUUUAAGGUAUCGAUUUUUAUUAGACGUGACCAUCAUAGCGGAUCGCGCCCAUAAUCUUUCAUUAACUGACCUC